RNAcentral lists this ribosomal RNA (216 nucleotides) under Glomeromycotina sp. Its description in RNAcentral is "partial small subunit ribosomal RNA". The stretch from base 75 to 216 matches the Rfam family "Eukaryotic small subunit ribosomal RNA", at positions 721 to 864 of the family's 1831-position model. The record is from RNAcentral. Lineage: Eukaryota; Fungi; Glomeromycota.
GGGUCAGUAGGUUGGUCGUGCCACCGGUACGUACUGGUCUCACUGAUUCCUCCUUCCCGAAGAACCGUAAUGCCAUUAAUUUGGUGUUGCGGGGAAACAGGACUGUUACUUUGAAAAAAUUAGAGUGUUUAAAGCAAGCUAACGCUUGAAUACAUUAGCAUGGAAUAAUGAAAUAGGACGAUCGAUCCUAUUUUGUUGGUUUCUAGGAUUGACGUC